CUGUCCUUUCCACGGGAAGGAAAGGCACGACCCAAGAGGUCGGGCAGGAUAUCCAUGGCUCGACCGAGACGAGCGAACUCCAGCACCGUCAGCCAAGAUCCAGCGCCCCCGGCCGCCUCCGAGCUCCACCGCCGGCGACAGAAGUGACGCUCCCGACCCCCUCCCUCCGGUGCUCACGAUCCAACUCCGCCCCUCCAGCGACGGUGACGGACCGCGACCGUCACUGUUCUCCUUCCCCGGAUCUACCCUCCGCCUCGCAGCUUCGAUCCCCUCCGGCGACGGCGAAGGCGUCGGUUCCACGGACAUAUUCUAUCUCAUUCUUCUCAUCUGCUCAUAUAUUUUGUACAGAAAUAAAAAAAAAUUGCACUACAUAUGUGACAUCAGAUUUCAUAUGUUAUAGGAGGUACACAACACUUUAUUUACCAGAUCAUGAAAGCAAACUUUCUUAUUUAUGUACUUUGCCACAUUCUUGCCAAGUUCCUGCAUUUUAAAUUGGUUGCAUGCCUAGUGUCAUCGUGCUAAACUAGAUACAUGCCUACUGUCUUUGUAUAUGUAAACAUUCGGUCAAAGAAUAAGAUGCGGUCUGAAAAUUCACAUAUGGAAGAGACUAGUCAGCCUGUACGCCUUGUCCUAAUUUUAUUUUUGAAGGAUAUGGUCUGAAAAAUUACAUAUGAAAAUUAUUUCCAUUCAAGUUCUCCCCUUUUGUUUUGUACCAAGCUAUUGAACCAAGGUUUAGGAGCAUCAAAAUUAGAUAAUUAUUCCCAUUCAAGUCCUUGCCACUAUACACUGCAUAGAUUAUUGCUGUUUCUCUUUUUGCCAUCACAAUUACAAUUGGGAGCAGCAAGAUUAGAUAAUUAUUUAGUCAUACUAGUAUGUAUAUUGUCAUAACUUGGACGAAUCAGUGAUCGGUAGUCGCUGCUAACCGGCGUUCUGGUGGAGUGCAAAAGUGGUAGUUACAUUCAGGACAUGAAAAAUUGAGUAUGAAUGUCAGCUUUCUGUAGUUCAGUCAGCUUCCUAUAGGUUUGUUUUUCUCACCCUGCAUAGCUAGCUAGUACAUAUGUAUUCUUCUGUAGUUUCUUGUGCACUCUGCAGAUUUAGAGCUAGGAAGAAGCAGUGAAGGGAGGGACCUCAGUAGGACAGCAUGAGUUGGACGGUCGCUACGAUGUGGGAACUGUUGACCGGUAAACUCUGAAUCAGCAUGGGCGACAAAGUCCGGCCGACCUCAUCGUGAUGCAGGACCGGCGGCCACCCUUGACCCUCUGCUAGAGUUAGGUCCCAUCCUGAGCGGUCCGCUGCUCUGGGCGACAUCGGAGGUGGGCUGGUCGGUGGCAUACAUACUAGAACUUGAGUUGGGAUCACUGCUGGUGCUAGCGGUGUUGAUGGUGCCAUUCAUGUCUCGCUGCAAAGUUGUUGAACAAGGCAAGACCGAUCACCCAUGAACUGAAGCACACAUGCGUGUGCAGUGUGAGCUAAGUAAGCUGUUCCCGGCCGAUGAGGAAGAUAAGGACUACUGACCGCUGCCUUACAACUUAUAUCUUCAAGAAGUAUCGCUAGCCCGGACACGAAUAUUUGAUAAUCGAUAACUUUUUGUAUGGAGAGAGAGGUCUGCGACAACCUCACAAUUCUUGUAUGAUUCAUUUGUAUCGGUGUUGGCUUGACAGUUCUAAAUUUGGGAACCUGUCGAACAAUGAUGGCUAUUCUUAUUCUAGCCCAUGAAAAUGGUCACAUGAUGUUUUUGUUUGUACACGAGAGAUCUUUUUCAGCUGCAACAUCAUAUAUAUUUCAUACUAAAUUCUGACAUUUGUGUAUUGCUGUUCU
Triticum dicoccoides is the source of this 1818-nucleotide long non-coding RNA. RefSeq lists it as uncharacterized. The record is from RefSeq and is a predicted model, not a curated record. NCBI's taxonomy places the organism in Eukaryota, Viridiplantae, Streptophyta, Magnoliopsida, Poales, Poaceae. The transcript has 3 exons.